This 1334-nucleotide ribosomal RNA is filed under the name Clostridioides difficile. RNAcentral's name for it is "bacterial LSU rRNA". It matches the Rfam family "Bacterial large subunit ribosomal RNA", at positions 771 to 2123 of the family's 2925-position model. Lineage: Bacteria; Bacillati; Bacillota; Clostridia; Peptostreptococcales; Peptostreptococcaceae. The record is from RNAcentral.
GGUCCGAACCCACGAGCGUUGAAAAGCUCGGGGAUGACUUGUGGGUAGCGGUGAAAUUCCAAUCGAGCCCGGAGAUAGCUGGUUCUCCCCGAAAUAGCUUUAGGGCUAGCCUCAAGGUGAGAGAUACGGAGGUAGAGCACUGAAUGUCCUAGGGGGUAUUGCACCUACCGAAGACUAUCAAACUCCGAAUGCCGUCAUCUUAUACUUGGGAGUCAGACUGUGGGUGAUAAGAUUCAUAGUCGAAAGGGCAACAGCCCAGAUCGUCAGCUAAGGUCCCUAAAUGUAAGUUAAGUGGUAAAGGAUGUGGGAUUGCACAGACAACCAGGAUGUUGGCUUAGAAGCAGCCACUCAUUCAAAGAGUGCGUAAUAGCUCACUGGUCGAGUGAUCCUGCGCCGAAGAUUUCCGGGGCUAAAACUUACUACCGAAGCUACGGCAUCAGUAAUGAUGGGUAGGGGAGCUUCCCAUACGGGUUGAAGCAUGACCGUAAGGACAUGUGGACAGUAUGGGAGUGAGAAUGUUGGCAUGAGUAGCGAGAUGUGGGUGAGAAUCCCACAGGCCGUAAACCCAAGGUUUCCAGGGGAAGGUUCGUCCGCCCUGGGUUAGUCGGGACCUAAGCUGAGGCCGAAAGGCGUAGGUGAUGGACAACAGGUUGAUAUUCCUGUACUACCGAUAACCGUUUGAGAGAUGGGAUGACACAGUAGGAUAAGCUAAGCACACUGUUGGUUAUGUGUGCCCAAGCAUUGAGGCAGUCAAAGUAGGCAAAUCCGCUUUGAUAAUGCUGGGAUGUGAUGGGGAGCGAAAUUUAGUAGCGAAGUAGCUGAUUUCACACUGUCAAGAAAAGUCUCUAUCGAGGUUAAAGGUACCCGUACCGCAAACCGACACAGGUGGGUGAGGAGAGUAUCCUAAGGCUAGCGAGAGAACUGUUGUUAAGGAACUCGGCAAAAUGACCCCGUAACUUAGGGAUAAGGGGUGCCACCAUCAGGUGGCCGCAGAGAAUAGGCCCAAGCGACUGUUUACCAAAAACAUAGGUUUCUGCUAAGUCGCAAGACGAUGUAUAGGAGCUGACGCCUGCCCGGUGCUGGAAGGUUAAGGGAAUCUGUUAGAGCAAUCGAAGCAGUGAACUUAAGCCCCAGUAAACGGCGGCCGUAACUAUAACGGUCCUAAGGUAGCGAAAUUCCUUGUCGGGUAAGUUCCGACCCGCACGAAAGGCGUAACGAUUUGGGCACUGUCUCAACAACAGACUCGGUGAAAUUGUAAUUCCGGUGAAGAUGCCGGAUACCUGCGACAGGACGGAAAGACCCCAUGGAGCUUUACUGUAGCUUGACAUUGGGUC